UGACUAAAACUUGAAGUCAGACUCUGGCAUGCUUGAAUACCAUAUGCCUGCACUAUUGAGAGACUGGAGCAGAGUAUCUGGAGAAAGAUGAGAGAGUGUGGGUGGCAAUAGAAAAAACAACCACCACUAUAAUUUCUGGAAAUUAUUUCGGCUGAAUGAGUGCAGUGAAGACAUCUCAUGGGAAUAGGAGAGGUCUUGCAGACAAUACCUGACUGACUCUUCAGGCAAAAAAAGCAAGACACACCAAGAAAAUAGAAAUAUGAC
This is a long non-coding RNA of Pipra filicauda (Wire-tailed manakin), 264 nucleotides long. RefSeq lists it as uncharacterized. The record is from RefSeq and is a predicted model, not a curated record. Lineage: Eukaryota; Metazoa; Chordata; Aves; Passeriformes; Pipridae. The transcript is spliced from 3 exons.